UUCCGAUCGGACACUUCCGGUGGAAGGACUGAGCGGCGCUACACUUCAAGAAUUCCGUCCACAGGGACUUGUGAGUCUGCGCAGAAGGCGGGAUGCCUUUGGACUACAAUUCCAAGAAUCCUUCCUGGGUCUCUUCGGGCGCAGACUUUUCGCCAAAGUCCUGAAGAUCUCAGGGCUUGAAGGAGGGGGCAUCUUUUUUCUCCAUUGUAGUAGUGUGUCUUGCUAAAUAACAGAAGGGACUCCUGAAAAGAAAAUGACGUUGGCCGGGCGCGGUGGCUCACGCCUGCAGUCCCAGCACUUUGGGAGGCCGAGACGGGCGGAUCACGAGAAGGGUGGUGAAAUUGAAGCCCACGCAGCAGGGUUGCAACUGAAACUUCAUCUCCUCUGCAAAACCUUCCUGCAUUCCCAGACAACUUUUCUUCUGAGGCCUUGUUUGAUUCAUCCCCUUACCCCAGUGGAACUCAGAUAUUCAAAAUGGUAUUAAUUAAAACCACUGGCUGUCAUUGGUCCAUGCAUGGCCUUAAAGUGUGAACAUUUUUUAAUCCAUUACCUAGUCUAUAAGAACUGUAGAUUGACAACAACUUAGAUUUAAUACUACUCUUUUUCUAGUCCCUCUCUAUACUACCUCUCAUCCGAGGAAACACUAUCACAAAUUUUGUAUUUGUUGUUCCCUUGCUUUUUAACAAGAUGAUUCUAUUAGAUAUGUACUGUUUUGUCCCCCAAAAGUGGUGGCAGGGGAGUUCACACAAGGGAGUGCCCAAAACCGUCCUAGUUGGGGCUGGUUGGGAUUCCAAAGAAAGGAGCACUAUGUGCCAAGGUGAUCUGUCCAAAGCAUUUAUUAAGGGAACUUACAUAGUGUUGCAGGAAUCCUCCCCAUGGGUGGUGAGAGAAAAGGGACAUUCUACCUAGAUAUGUCUGCAGUGAGGGGGUCAGGGUAUGGAGUUUAUAUAAGGGUUUAAAGAAUUUGGCUCAGGGCCAGAGCUAGUUUCUUUCACUGUUUUCAGUGACAACUUAGAUACCUUUAUCAGUGCCUGGGAAUGUUCAAGACCCAAGUUUGGGUUCAAGCAUGCUGGGAAAAAAUCUGCAGCUGGCUAGGUCACAGAGAGGUCAAGGCACUCUGAUUUUCAGUCACAGAAUAGUCAAGGCUCUGUGAUUUCCAGUCAGAGAUCCUGCAAUCCAUUUUCCUGACUGGCUCUUACAAUCUCACAUGCCCAUCUCUUCCUAUAUGUUCCCUGAGCUGGUCAGAAAGGGUGGGAUCAUCGGCAAUUUCUUUCCCCUGGCUUUAUGAAACACUGCAAACAAAACCUACACUAACAGUAAAUACAAGUGCACCUGACAAAAUCUAAAAUCACAUUUUCCAAAAGGCUUCCUAGCAGAGCUUUCCACCAAGGACCCCAUCCUGGAAAACAUGACUUUGUGUAGACCACCAGGCAUACCCUAUGUGGUCAGUAAGCUGUAAUUGCUUUCGUGAGUGAAGGACGGAUUGAUUAACUUCAGCUUCUUUGUCUAGAAUAUACACACAAUGUUCACUUUUGUAAAGGGCACAGGUUCCCCCUUGCACAGAUGUCAGCAUCUCUAGGGCCAUUUGGUUUUGUAGACCACUUUUUUCACUGCAGCUGUUUCAAUGUUCAAGGCCUCCAUACCAUGUUUGGUGUUGUUCAAAGCUGUGGAGACAAAUCUCUGAAGGGCUUCCAGCUUCUACACAGUAUCAGAAGAACCUCCUGGAGGCACAAAUAUAGUCAAUAAGUAAUCCCACCAAGAAAAAACAGGUCUACUCCACUGACCUCUCCAGAUGGACUCAUUGAGGGAUACAGGAAUGGUGCCAGAGAUUCUGGAGUCAUCCAAGCCACCCCAGGGGAAGCCAGGGCUGGAG
Molecule: long non-coding RNA, 1873 nt
Filed under: Homo sapiens (human)
Lineage: Eukaryota; Metazoa; Chordata; Mammalia; Primates; Hominidae
Description: HSALNT0103208
Source: RNAcentral